GUACACAAAAAUGCACAUACUGUGAGCUCGAUGAGUAGGGCGGGACACGUGGUAUCCUGUCUGAAUAUGGGGGGACCAUCCUCCAAGGCUAAAUACUCCUGACUGACCGAUAGUGAACCAGUACCGUGAGGGAAAGGCGAAAAGAACCCCGGCGAGGGGAGUGAAAAAGAACCUGAAACCGUGUACGUACAAGCAGUGGGAGCCUCUUAAUGGGGUGACUGCGUACCUUUUGUAUAAUGGGUCAGCGACUUAUAUUCUGUAGCAAGGUUAACCGAAUAGGGGAGCCGAAGGGAAACCGAGUCUUAACUGGGCGUUAAGUUGCAGGGUAUAGACCCGAAACCCGGUGAUCUAGCCAUGGGCAGGUUGAAGGUUGGGUAACACUAACUGGAGGACCGAACCGACUAAUGUUGAAAAAUUAGCGGAUGACUUGUGGCUGGGGGUGAAAGGCCAAUCAAACCGGGAGAUAGCUGGUUCUCCCCGAAAGCUAUUUAGGUAGCGCCUCGUGAAUUCAUCUCCGGGGGUAGAGCACUGUUUCGGCAAGGGGGUCAUCCCGACUUACCAACCCGAUGCAAACUGCGAAUACCGGAGAAUGUUAUCACGGGAGACACACGGCGGGUGCUAACGUCCGUCGUGAAGAGGGAAACAACCCAGACCGCCAGCUAAGGUCCCAAAGUCAUGGUUAAGUGGGAAACGAUGUGGGAAGGCCCAGACAGCCAGGAUGUUGGCUUAGAAGCAGCCAUCAUUUAAAGAAAGCGUAAUAGCUCACUGGUCGAGUCGGCCUGCGCGGAAGAUGUAACGGGGCUAAACCAUGCACCGAAGCUGCGGCAGCGACACUAUGUGUUGUUGGGUAGGGGAGCGUUCUGUAAGCCUGUGA
Molecule: ribosomal RNA, 874 nt
Filed under: Escherichia coli
Lineage: Bacteria; Pseudomonadati; Pseudomonadota; Gammaproteobacteria; Enterobacterales; Enterobacteriaceae
Description: partial 23S ribosomal RNA
Rfam family: Bacterial large subunit ribosomal RNA
Source: RNAcentral